This 68-nucleotide transfer RNA is filed under the name Marmota monax (woodchuck). RNAcentral's name for it is "tRNA.Ala". Lineage: Eukaryota; Metazoa; Chordata; Mammalia; Rodentia; Sciuridae. The record is from RNAcentral.
GAGGGUAGCUCAGUGGUAAAGAGUGUACUUAGCAUGCAGGAGGCUCUGGGUUCAAUCCCCAGCACACA